Molecule: ribosomal RNA, 485 nt
Filed under: Salmonella enterica
Lineage: Bacteria; Pseudomonadati; Pseudomonadota; Gammaproteobacteria; Enterobacterales; Enterobacteriaceae
Description: partial 23S ribosomal RNA
Source: RNAcentral
UCCUGUCUGAAUAUGGGGGGACCAUCCUCCAAGGCUAAAUACUCCUGACUGACCGAUAGUGAACCAGUACCGUGAGGGAAAGGCGAAAAGAACCCCGGCGAGGGGAGUGAAAAAGAACCUGAAACCGUGUACGUACAAGCAGUGGGAGCCCCACCACUAAGCCAGUGGUGAACUCCACAUACGCAUCCUUUGCUGARGRURCGGUUAACGGAGCGCAAGCGACGUUCAACCKCAAAAGAAGCAGAGGGGGCUUAGUGGUGGGGUGACUGCGUACCUUUUGUAUAAUGGGUCAGCGACUUAUAUUCUGUAGCAAGGUUAACCGMAUAGGGGAGCCGSAGGGAAACCGAGUCUUAAUUGGGCGUUAAGUUGCAGGGUAUAGACCCGAAACCCGGUGAUCUAGCCAUGGGCAGGUUGAAGGUUGGGUAACACUAACUGGAGGACCGAACCGACUAAUGUUGAAAAAUUAGCGGAUGACCUGUGGCUGG